AGCUUUGUGCAGUUGCAGUAUCGUAGCCAAUGAGGUUUAUCUGAGGUGUGAUUAUUGCCAAUUAUAAUGAAAUGUAUUGAAUUUUAACAAUUUAGAAAUCAGA
RNAcentral lists this small nuclear RNA (103 nucleotides) under Cervus hanglu yarkandensis (Yarkand deer). RNAcentral's name for it is "U4 spliceosomal RNA (ENSCHYG00000025939.1)". The stretch from base 1 to 68 matches the Rfam family "U4 spliceosomal RNA". Rfam says of the family: U4 small nuclear RNA (U4 snRNA) is a component of the major U2-dependent spliceosome. Lineage: Eukaryota; Metazoa; Chordata; Mammalia; Artiodactyla; Cervidae. The record is from RNAcentral.